GAAAUUUUAUGAUCAGACGUGUAGGAAAAUUCUAAUAUGAUUUUAUGCUACCUCUUCAUACAAACUUGCCAAUAAUUCAAACUCCAUUUUACAUGCUAAGCUUCCAAGAAAGUCUUUAGACAAGAAAUGUCUUGGAAAGUGAAUGCAUUAAUGGUAAUACUGUUUUUCUUUCUUUUCUGGUUGGAUAAUUAAUUUCAUCAAAAUUAGAAACAAAGAGAGAAGAGAAAAGAAAAGAAAAGUGGUCCCUGUGAAAGACGCGGUUUGCUUUGACUCUAUCUUCACCCAUCUUACACUUUCUCACUCAACUUUUCCUGUCACGGUUCGUUGGAAUAUGAUCAAACACUGUAAUAUAAGGCUUUUGGUAAUUGUCAGUUUGAUGCAUUAUCACAUUAAUACAUUCACGUUGACAUCUGUGUAUUUUUCACAAAUAUUUAAUGUUACGACAACGAAUGAACCAACAUUGCAUAAUAAAAUUGUAGAAAAAUCAAAUUACAAAAACUGCAAAGUUAGAGUGUUUAAAUUUAAUAUUAAACCUAAAUAAUAUCUUACUUGAACCAAAUAGUCUUGGAUAUAAGUUGUAUGGCUCUGCUAACUUAGAAAAUAACAUAUAAGAACACUUUUGAUGACAUUUCGUUGGCAAAUUGCAUCCGAAGAUAAACGCUGGAAAACAAGGGGUCCAUUGGCUAUCAUUAAUUAGCCUGUUUCCUUCUUCAGCCUUUGUUUUUAAGUUCAUUGUGUGUGUCUUUCUCUUUCUCAGUAGACUCCAAUGAGAAUUUCCCAAUGUCCUUUCGUUUUCAUCAUAUUAUGCUACUCCUUCUGGAUANANCACACUGUUUAUUUCACCGGGGUUUCUNGUCAGAUUGUUGAAGAUCAACNACAGUCAUUGCUAAAAUUGAAGAACAGCCUAAUAUUCGAGCAAGAAAAAUCUCACAAACUUGUGUUCUGGAAUUCAAGCACGGAUUGCUGUAAGUGGACAGGUGUAACCUGUGAUGAGGAGGGACAUGUUAUUGGCCUUGACCUGAAUGGAGAAUCAAUCAAUGGUGGAUUUGACAAUUCAAGUACUCUUUUCAACCUGCAAAGUCUCAGGAUACUGAAUUUGUCCGUUAAUAAGUUCAGUUCUCAGAUACCAUCUGGAUUCAGCAGGUUGAAGAACUUAACAUAUCUGAAUUUGUCUUACGCUGGUUUUGUGGGCCAUAUUCCAACAGAGAUUUCUUCCCUGACAAGGUUGGUAACUCUUGAUAUCUCUUCUCUUUCCUAUUUGUCUGGGCCACCGCUGAAACUUGAAAAAACAAAUCUGGAAAUGCUUGUUAAAAACUUCACCAUGAUUAGACAGUUGUAUAUGGAUGGUGUAAGUGUAUCAACCCAGGGAAAUGAAUGGAGCAACGCUUUGUUUCAGCUACAUAGCCUGCAGGAGCUGAGCAUGUCCAACUGCAAUCUCUCAGGACCCCUUGAUCAUUCCCUGACAAGACUUCGAAACCUAUCAACCAUUCGUCUUGAUCAAAACAACUUAUCAUCCCCGGUGCCAGAAACCUUUGCCGAUUUUCCAAAUUUAACAACCCUUCAUCUUAGUUUCUGUGAAUUGAAAGGAGUGUUUCCUGAUAAGAUCUUUCAGUUGGCAACAUUGUCUGACAUAGACUUGUCAUUCAACUAUGAUCUUAAUGGAUCUUUGCCUGAAUUGCCUCCGAAUUCUUCUCUUCAGAAAUUAAUUGUGAGUCACACAAGGUUCUCAGGAGCAUUGCCAGCUUCUAUAGGUAAUCUUAGGCAGUUAUCCAUCUUAGAUCUUUCUAAUUGCCAUUUUAACGGAACACUACCCAGUUCAAUGUCAGGACUCAAGAAACUCACUUCUCUACUCUUGUCGUUAAAUAACUUCACUGGUCAAAUUCCGUCCCUGAAUAUGUCCAGGAAUCUCACGCAUUUAGACUUAUCACACAAUAAAUUCACAGGUUCAAUCACAUAUGUUCACUUGGAAGGCCUAAGAGAGCUGGUCCAAAUUGAUUUACAGGACAACUUACUUGAUGGAAACAUCCCUUCUUCUCUUUUUGCACUUCCAUUGGUACAAAGCAUUCAACUUUCCAACAACCAUUUCCAUGGCCAGCUUGAUGAAUUUUCAAAUAUCUCAUCCUCCGUCUUAGAGAUCCUUGAUUUAAGUAGUAAUGAUCUAGAAGGGCCCAUUCCUCUAUCUAUUUUUAAUCUCAGAUCACUGAAUGUCCUCAAACUAUCUUUAAACAAGUUACAUGACACAUUGAAGCUAGACGUGUUUCAGGGACUUGAAAAUCUAACUACACUGGCCCUUUCACACAACAGCUUGUCAGUGGAGACAAAUGAGACGGAUAAAGGCCUUAUAUCUUCAUUCCACAAUAUGAGGAGUAUAGAGUUGGCUUCCUGCAAUCUGACACAGUUCCCCAGUUUCUUGAGAAACAAUUCCAGAAUAACCACUUUAGACCUCUCAAGUAACCAUAUUCGAGGAUCUAUACCAAUAUGGAUAUGGCAACUUCCCUCUCUACUUCAAUUAAAUCUUUCUCACAAUUUGCUCAGCAGUUUAGAAGGAUCUGUUCAGAACAUUGGUUCCAAUCUGAGGCUCGUUGACCUUCAUGCUAACCAACUCCAAGGGAAGCUUCAAAUAUUUCCAGUGCAUGCCAUUUAUUUGGACUAUUCAAGCAAUAAUUUCAGUUUCGCUCUUCCGUCAGAUGUUCGUACUCGUCUGUCUUCCAUAGCUUUUCUGUCUCUGUCCAAAAAUAAUUUAUCUGGGAGUAUUCCUCGUUUCCUGUGCAAUAGUUCACAGUUGACAGUUCUGGAUGUUUCUUAUAAUAACUUCGAAUGGAGAAUUCCUGAGUGCUUAACAAAGAGUGUGACAAUUAAGGUAUUAAAUCUGCAACACAACAAGUUUAGUGGCAGCAUUCCAGAUAAGUUUCCAGUAUCUUGUGCUCUAAGGACUCUGCAUCUCAAUAGUAAUCUAUUGAAGGGGCCAAUUCCCAAAUCCCUAGAAAAUUGCUCAUCAUUAGAGGUGUUUGAUAUUGGAAACAAUGCGGUAUAUGAUGGAUUUCCAUACUUCUUAAAUUCAAUAUCCACAUUUCGUGUCCUGGUUUUGAGGAGAAACAAAUUUCAUGGGCACAUUGAAUGUCCUGAUGCUAACAGAACUUGGCCAAUGCUUCAAAUUAUUGAUGUGGCUUUGAACACAUUUAGUGGUUUACUUCCAGGAAAAUGUUUCAAAACAUGGAAGGCAAUGAAGAUUGACGAAUAUCAUGAUGCAUCAAAGUUCAAUCACAUAGGAUCUGCGGUCCUUCCAUUUGGUGGUAUAUAUUAUCAGGAUUCUGUGACACUUACAAUCAAAGGUUUGGAGUUGGAGUUUGUUAAAGUCCUAAAUCUCGUCACAUCUGUUGACUUCUCAUCCAACAAUUUUGAUGGAACAAUACCUGAAGAGAUUAUGGAUUUUACUGGACUUUAUGCUCUCAACUUGUCUCAUAAUUAUUUAACAGGCCAAAUCCCUUCAUCUAUAGGGAAUUUAACACAGCUUGAGUCAUUGGACCUGUCAAGCAACAAUUUUGGUGGCGAAAUUCCCACACAUCUUGAACUUUUAAAUUUCCUCUCAUUCUUGAACCUCUCUUCUAAUCGUCUGGUUGGAAAAAUCCCUGUAGGUAGGCAACUUCAAACAUUUGACCAAUCUUCCUAUACUGGUAAUGCAGAUUUAUGUGGAAGUCCUUUGACUAAAAACUGUAGUGAUGAAAAACCUGGGCUGUCAACCUCGGCAAAUGCAAGGUCGCACGCAACUGGUGAAAAUAUCGUGAGGGCUGAAUUGGGGUUUGUUUUAGGACUCGGACUUUUCAGUGUUCACCUACUGUUUUGGAAGAAAUGGAGGGAAAGGUACUGGAAGCAUGUGGACUCAAUUCUGUGCGGCAUCUUCCCACAGCUGAAUCUUGAAUACGAAACCCGUGGAGGACAAAGCUAUCAAGUAUUAAGGUGGAGGCCUUAGUCACAAGGGACUCCAUUUCUCAGUUACAUUGACUAUUAUGGGUUGAUUUCAUAUUUUAUGUAAUUAUGUAGAGAAAAUAAGAACAGUGCAUGAUGUGGUGUUGAAAUACUCUAAGAUUAUAAGUCCUAAAGGAUAUUAGGGUGGUUUAGGGAUUACAUAUAUGAUUGUGUUUUCAUUCAAUAACCGAAAUACUUGAAGAAAAAUGAAAUUAUGAUGUGAACACAUUGUUAAUCACCAUCAUAAUGAAAAGACAUAGUUAAAAACGAGACAUGUCUGUUCUUCGAAUUAAUAAUGAGAGUUCACAAACAUAAAACUGCAUAGAAACUAAACACUGAUUACAACUGAAACAACAGUAAACUCACCUUACGGUGAAGGCCGUCGCAGACUAUGGAAAUCUCAUCUGCAUUGCGAUUGCCGCUGUUAAUGACGGAGGAUUUCCCGCUCCGGCGGCUCGAAUUGGAGGAGGGAUUGACACAGUGAAGAAGACUAUAGAUGAUAUAGAAUUUAGUUAUAAGUUGAAAU
This 4492-nucleotide long non-coding RNA is filed under the name Vigna radiata. RNAcentral describes it as "long non-coding RNA (VRAD_LNC013851)". The record is from RNAcentral. Lineage: Eukaryota; Viridiplantae; Streptophyta; Magnoliopsida; Fabales; Fabaceae.